RNAcentral lists this ribosomal RNA (253 nucleotides) under uncultured bacterium. RNAcentral describes it as "partial 16S ribosomal RNA". It matches the Rfam family "Bacterial small subunit ribosomal RNA", at positions 524 to 776 of the family's 1533-position model. The record is from RNAcentral.
UACGUAGGGUGCAAGCGUUGUCCGGAAUUAUUGGGCGUAAAGAGCUCGUAGGCGGUCUGUCGCGUCGAAUGUGAAAACCCGGGGCUCAACCCCGGGCCUGCAUUCGAUACGGGCAGACUAGAGUUCGGUAGGGGAGUCUGGAAUUCCUGGUGUAGCGGUGAAAUGCGCAGAUAUCAGGAGGAACACCGGUGGCGAAGGCGGGUCUCUGGGCCGAAACUGACGCUGAGGAGCGAAAGCGUGGGGAGCAAACAGG